RNAcentral lists this long non-coding RNA (3762 nucleotides) under Homo sapiens (human). Its description in RNAcentral is "non-protein coding lnc-FAM84B-19:2". The record is from RNAcentral. Lineage: Eukaryota; Metazoa; Chordata; Mammalia; Primates; Hominidae.
CUCAGACACACAGUGAUACUCCUCCCUGCUUGCUUCUGCACAUCAUUGCAUUCAUUCAAUAACAUACUCAUUCAUUGAAUGAAGAUUUAUUAAGCACUUACUGCAUGCCCAUAUGUUACUUAUUAGGAUACAAUGAUGAAUAAGAACAAAUGCCUGUCCUCAAAGAUCAUAUCGUCAGGAGUACUCAUGCCUGGCAGCACAUCAGAAUCGUCCACAGGGCUGCUUGAAAGCACAGAGGUUUGGGCUUCAUCCUAUCUCAGAAUGAAAAGAGAGGGAAAGGAAACAGCAAGCAAAAAAAUCAUAAGAGAAUGAGGGGAGCUGAUUACAAAUUUCUCCUGUUACCUUCCUGACAACCAAUUGGGUGAAUGGGCUGGGCUGUAGAGCCAAAAAGACUGGUUCAAAACUCAGGCAUUUUUAUAUUCUGGCUUGCUGGGACAUUUCCCCUUUGCAUCUGUGGCUGUGAAAUUAUUACUAGUUCUCCCUUUUACUUUCAAAAGUGCCCUGUUUUGGAUGAUAAGUUCUAUAAUCACCUUAUUCUAUAGUCAGUUUUACCCUUUCCUACCCGUGAACACGUGGGGGAAAUGGCUGCAACUUUCUGAGCCUCAGUUUCAUGGUCUGUAUCGUAGAGUGAGCCAUACCUACUUGAGAAGGUGUGAGAAUUAAAUGAGAUGAUGUUUGCCAAGUGCCUGGCACAGUAGAUGUUUAAUUCACAGAAGCUGUUGUUAUUGUUUGCCUUGUAGAAAGUGGUUUUCAUCUGGUCUGCAUUUUUCACUGUCAAAUGAAACGAGACCUCAACGAUGAGAACAUUGAGAUGAAGCACAGAGCAUUUAUAUCGGUGGAGAGGAUGGCCUGGGUCAGCAAGACAUUACUUGGGUAGUCACUGGCCAGGGUGACAAGCCUGUCUUAAGAAUCUCUGUUACAAUAUUAAAACUUCAGCUCAAUGGCCUAGAAAGCUUAACUUUACUACCCUCCUUGUUGGUUUAAAUUUCUAUAGCAUUAGGUCAAAUGCCAGCAAUGGGCCCAGAAGGAGGGAACCGCAGUCUAUUUUGAUGUCCAGGGUCAGGCUGAGGAGAGAGACUGACACAUUAUCUGUCUGGCUGACUGUCCACUCCCCCCCACCACAGUGGUGACUCAUCAGAGGGCGAGAAAGACCCGUCUCCGCCUGUCUGAACAGUGAUUCUGCCGGUGAUUCAUUGUUGCCCACCAGAAAGCCCCCUUCUUAAUGUCCUCUUUCUGAGCUCUUCAAUUAGCAUUUGAGGCCAAAGGAUAUUUAGAGGGAAGGGAGGGUAGAAAGAUCCGCCAGUCGGACCGAGUGUGGCUUCACUCAGUGGCAGUGGGACACAGGGAGGGAGAAGAGGAAGUGCUGGGUACGGCUUGCUCCCAGAGUAGGAACUUGGAAACAGCUAGAGAAAAAAUAUAUAUAUAAUAAAUGGUGAAUAUUUAUAACAUUGCAGAGGUCCUUAGGGGUGAAGGAAUCUCACCAAAGACAGGAAGAAGGGCCAAAACUUUAUAGAAAUUAGAAAUCUUUUUGGAUGACAUUGCAUGAAGCUUGCUAUGUGAAUGGAUUGUUUAAAAGUCUAAGGUAUGUCAAACUGAAGAUAAAGUGGAUCAACAUGAAGAGAAUAUUUGUAGUCUAGGAUAAAAGGAAGACUAAGGCAGGACUUAUCCAGUGCUGUUCUAGAAAGACAGUUACUGAGGCUGGUAGAUAUUCAAGUCUCCAGAAUUAUCCAUAAGUUCUCUAGUAUGGGCCUAAAAGUGAUUAGUUUUCCCAAAGUGUGAUAGGUAAAAUUAGUAACAUAUAUACACAUAAAGAAAAAUUCUUUUAGGAGUAAUCUGUGCAUUCAUACCACUUGUACAUCAAACCAAGAUUAUCACAUGUAUUUUUCUUUGAACACAAUUAAGUAAAAAUAUGCAAACUUUUUCUUUCUCCAGACAUGCCAAGCUUCAGCUGAAACUCAAGCCUCAUGCAGUUUUCUCUGCUUGGAAUGUUCUCUGCCCAGCCUUCACCUGCCCAGCUUCUUGUCCUACAGGUCUCAAGUCAAAUGCCUUCUUCUCAGUGAAGACUUCCCUGGCCACCUUGUCAACAUAAAUGUCAUCUGGUUAUUCUCUCUCCAGCCUGUGGCCUAUUUUUUCUAAAGAACUUUUCAGAAUCUCAUCCAUAUCUUGGUUUACUUGUUUGUAACCAGUGUCUCUCCUCCAGAAUGUAAGCUCCAGGAGAGCAGCACUUCCUCCUUGAUGUUAUUCCUGCUUCAAUCCUUAGCGUCUAGCCCAGUGCUUAAUACAGAUUUGUUGAAUAAAGAUCCAUUAAAGUGAAUUAUGGACUUAAUAAUGCCAUUCUUGCAUUGGGGAAAAAAAAUUGUGGAGUUGUAGUAAGGACAUGGAGAACCUGGACAUGGCCAUAGGAAAGUGUAAAAUGUUUGGUGAUAAUUAUACUUUUCCCCCUCAAAUGAGCCACAGACCUGAGAGUUAGGUAGGGAUGAACUGUUUUCCCAUGCUGGUAAAUAUGAAUUAGAACACAUGGCUUAGAAAUGAGUCAAAAACAGGUUUCCCACUCCUGCCUCUUCUGAUAGAGAUGACUUACUCAGUUACAGCUAGAAAACUUCAAGCUUCUCUCUUUCGUUUCCUCCCUCCUUCUCUUUCCCACCCCUCCUAUCACCCUGACUCAGGGAAAGGGCUGUCCCAGGGGACUGACCUUACAGAAGAGGUAGAAGCUGAGAGAACACCUGUGACUCUGAAAGCCAUUCUUUCAUGGGGAAGAGCAGACUAGGAUAGAAGCUUCCUCCAAAGCUCUUCUGAGAUUAAAAUUUCUAUAUGGAAGUGAGCUAAUGCAGGAAUGGGUGGAAGUAAAAUGGAUUUCCCUAGAGUAAAUAUCAUGGUCAUGCAUGUGUCAUGGGAGAAAAGGGAAGCUGAGGACCACUGUAAACCACCAUCAGUUCCCAGAGAUCCGGGAUUAUGUCUUCAACUACUAUUCAGAGACCACUGAUCCUAGCAUGUAUUUUGUGCCUGGCACACAGUAGUGGUCAAUCAGUGUGUGCCUAACAGUGUGCUCCGAAGGAAUGGAAGACUAUAUGAAUGAUUGACUAUAUGAGUGAUUGAGUGAAUAAAAUAUGCAUUAUACUUCUGCCUCUUACAAAUCUAGUUAAUGUGAGUCUAAUCUUAAACCCUGCUCACCUUAGAAUACAGAAUAAAAAAUAUAUUUUUUAGACACACAAGGCUGAAAACGAGAAUCUGGACAGAAGUGACCCCACUAAUUUCUGGCAAUGUUGUAAACCCUCUUGGGACACCUUUUAGCCCCAAGUAAUCUGGGGAUCUUACAGUGGGUAGUUCACAUAACCUGUGAUGAACCAAUAAGCCAUCUCUGCCUGCAUUCAGUCUCUUGAGGAGAGGUUCUUAACUUAGGUCCAUGAACUCUUCAAGGAUCAGAAUGCAGACACCUGGAGGCCUGGGAAGAAAAAGGAAAAAAUACAGCUUGAUUUGCACUCACCUGUAAUUGAAAUUUAGUAUUUCUAUCACUUGUGUAUGUAGACAACACACAGUUUAUUAGCAAUAGCUGUGAUUUUUGUCAUCCACAGAAAUGACAGAUAAUUUCAUAUCAUAUGUCAGCUGUGGCAGAGAUCAUGAAAUAUUGCCCUCGUGUCUAUUUCAAAGUUACAUUAGUUACUGAACUUCUGCUAGAUCUUCUUUGAUGCCUUCAAAUAGCAUAUAGAGCACUUGUGGUACUCAGGCUUCUAAGAUGACCUUCAAUGACUCCACCUUCUGGCU